UCCAAAUAGAGUGAACCUCUCUCUCUGGGGCCCUGUUGGUCCCACAUUUAUCAGUGCCCUCUCUCGGACUUGAGAAUGGGCUGGAGGAGUUCGGCUCCUCUUAAAGCAAAACACUUUUCACAAAAGAAAUGAAAAAAAUAUACAGCCAAGAAAGACCCCCUGACAAGUGAAGAGAGGCAUCGAGCAAGUCAAAUAAUGAGUUGUGGCUGCAGAGGCGCAAGCUCUUCAUCUACAAAGCUGAGGACCAUGAGGCUAAGGAACUACCAAAAGGCCCGAAGCUAGCAGAACCCAAGAAGAGGCCAGUCUACCUGGUGAUUGUUCGGCUCUCUGAUCUCUUCACCAGAACUUUCAAAAUUUCCUGCAGAGAGGAGAGCGCAAACAUCUUGUUUGGGAAAGACUCUUGCAGCUGUGCAAAUACAGUCUUCUUGAACAUUAAUCCAUCUGUCAGUUCUCAAGAAAAUGUGUGUGAUCAAAGAAGUUUGAGAACAUCUGCAACAAAUAGAACCUUCACUCCCUGAAUGUGUAUGUGAAACCAGCAUGUCAGGUGAACACACACGGGUACACACGUGUGCCCGAUAAUAAGGUGCCAUAAUAUAAAGAUUGGAUGGUUAUCUCUUCCCCACUCGCCCUCAUCCCUUGCUCUACUUAUCUCUUUUUUUCUCAGCAGUGUAUGCAUAAGGACUAGGGAUAUUGGAAGCUAACGAUGAUGAGUGUGGAUGGCUGGAGAGUAAACAGAAUUGUCACUGGAAAAAAGUGAUUAGGGUCAAUUAUAGUGCAUCUCAUGACUCCUUAACAAGAGCUGGCAUGAUUUUAUAAUUCCAUGUAGUUUUCUAGAUAAAGUCAGUGAAAAUAUACUCCACAAAGGAAAUUCAGGAACCUGGUUAUAGAAGAA
RNAcentral lists this long non-coding RNA (892 nucleotides) under Vulpes vulpes (red fox). RNAcentral describes it as "lncRNA (ENSVVUG00000021094.1)". Lineage: Eukaryota; Metazoa; Chordata; Mammalia; Carnivora; Canidae. The record is from RNAcentral.